This 253-nucleotide ribosomal RNA is filed under the name uncultured bacterium. RNAcentral's name for it is "partial 16S ribosomal RNA". It matches the Rfam family "Bacterial small subunit ribosomal RNA", at positions 524 to 776 of the family's 1533-position model. The record is from RNAcentral.
GACGAACCGUCCAAACGUUAUUCGGAAUUACUGGGCUUAAAGGGUGCGUAGGCGGCGCGGAAAGUUGGAUGUGAAAACUCUGGGCUCAACCCAGAGCCUGCAUCCAAAACUGGAAGGCUAGGGUUCUGGAGGGGAAAGCGGAAUUCCUGGUGUAGCGGUGAAAUGCGUAGAUAUCAGGAGGAACACCGGUGGCGAAGGCGGGUCUCUGGGCAACAACUGACGCUGAGGAGCGAAAGCGUGGGGAGCGAACAGG